GCUUGCGCUCGGUUGAGAAGAGUCUCAUCCGGUAGAGCGAAUGAUUAGAGGCAUUGGGGGUCGAAACGACCUCAACCUAUUCUCAAACUCCAAAUAGAUGAGACCCCCGGCUUUCUUAAAAUUGAAGCCGUGGGUUUUUGAUCAGAGUGCCAAGUGGGCCAAUUUUGGUAAGCAGAACUGGCGCUGUGG
This 189-nucleotide ribosomal RNA is filed under the name Hermillus sp. CW-2009. RNAcentral describes it as "partial 28S ribosomal RNA". It matches the Rfam family "Eukaryotic large subunit ribosomal RNA", at positions 981 to 1161 of the family's 3401-position model. The record is from RNAcentral. Lineage: Eukaryota; Metazoa; Arthropoda; Insecta; Hemiptera; Reduviidae.